ACCUGAACCAAUUCAUCCACCUGGCCCUGGCACUGGCCAGCAAAUACCAGCCUCGUGACUCGUUACUCAAAGGUGCUGUUAUGGAAGUGCUGCCUACCAUGUUCUAUGAAAAUUCGCACUCUGAAGAUACUCCACUUCAUAACUGUGGACACUUACUUGGCCCAAGAAACUGCUGUGUGUGCAGGUGCUACCUGGCCCUCUUUAUGUCACCUUGUGGGGAUUGAGCUUUGGAGAACCAGCACAAGAAAAUGCUGCUAUUCUGGCUAUUGCUAUCUUGUCUACAAAGAAGAAGAGUGCUAACUCUAUGCUCACGAGGCCGUGAGAGGACUUUCGCAGAUCCUGUACAGAGGCAGAAGACUCAGCUUCCUGGCAUCAGAGUGCAGCAUCCGCCAUGGAGGCAGACAACCAAUAACAUCGACCUGUGGAUUCCUUUAUCUUCUCAUGCCAUUUCCUGUGAGCAGCCUCACAAGGCCAAAGGCAGGCUGGGGAAAGCGCCACCUGCAAAGCCACAGGCUCCCCCUUGCUACAAGCAGCCGCAUUCCUUGCAACCUUUAAAACCCUUUGCCUCCCAUCCUUCAGAGAGAUGAGGCAAAUAUGAGGGCUCACUCUCAUCUCCUGGCUAACGUCACCUGAAAUAAAAACCAUUUCCUUUCC
RNAcentral lists this long non-coding RNA (654 nucleotides) under Equus caballus (horse). RNAcentral's name for it is "lncRNA (ENSECAG00000056581.1)". Lineage: Eukaryota; Metazoa; Chordata; Mammalia; Perissodactyla; Equidae. The record is from RNAcentral.